This 302-nucleotide ribosomal RNA is filed under the name uncultured bacterium. RNAcentral describes it as "partial 16S ribosomal RNA". It matches the Rfam family "Bacterial small subunit ribosomal RNA", at positions 508 to 807 of the family's 1533-position model. The record is from RNAcentral.
GCAGCAGCCGCGGGAAUACAGAGGGUGCGAGCGUUAAUCGGAUUUACUGGGCGUAAAGCGUGCGUAGGCGGCUUCUUAAGUCGGAUGUGAAAUCCCUGAGCUUAACUUAGGAAUUGCAUUCGAUACUAGGAAGCUAGAGUAUGGGAGAGGAUGGUAGAAUUCCAGGUGUAGCGGUGAAAUGCGUAGAGAUCUGGAGGAAUACCGAUGGCGAAGGCAGCCAUCUGGCCUAAUACUGACGCUGAGGUACGAAAGCAUGGGGAGCAAACAGGAUUAGAUACCCGAGUAGUCCCUGUCUCUUAUAC